AUUAGGCUUAAUUCAUUAAUAUUUAUAUUCUCUGUUCAUCCCGACAGAAUAUUUGAAUAAAAACAUAUUGUUUCAAACUCUUUCAUUUUUGUUUGGCUGAUUAUUACUACAACUUUACAUUUUCGCCAUGUCUAGCAUAGGCGGUAAAUUACAAAAAUCUUUGCACAAGAUUCGUGCUGGAGCUUUAGGGAUUCCUUUACCAAAACAUAUUCAGGAAGUAUCUAUUCAAUAUUCUUUAGACAGCCGUUUGGGACAUAUGGGUGCUAAGUAAGUUUUGU
RNAcentral lists this unclassified non-coding RNA (278 nucleotides) under Schizosaccharomyces pombe (fission yeast). Its description in RNAcentral is "non-coding RNA (predicted)". The record is from RNAcentral. Lineage: Eukaryota; Fungi; Ascomycota; Schizosaccharomycetes; Schizosaccharomycetales; Schizosaccharomycetaceae.